RNAcentral lists this ribosomal RNA (274 nucleotides) under uncultured bacterium. RNAcentral describes it as "partial 16S ribosomal RNA". It matches the Rfam family "Bacterial small subunit ribosomal RNA", at positions 523 to 796 of the family's 1533-position model. The record is from RNAcentral.
AUACGGAGGGUGCAAGCGUUAUUCGGAAUCACUGGGCGUAAAGGACGCGUAGGCGGGUUGGCAAGUCAGAUGUGAAAUCCUACAGCUUAACUGUAGAACUGCAUUUGAAACUGCUAACCUAGAGUAUGGGAGGUGGAGAUGGAAUUAGUGGUGUAGGGGUAAAAUCCGUAGAUAUCACUAGGAAUACCGAAAGCGAAGGCGAUCUCCUGGAACAUAACUGACGCUAAGGCGUGAAAGCGUGGGGAGCAAACAGGAUUAGAUACCCUAGUAGUCC